This 500-nucleotide ribosomal RNA is filed under the name uncultured bacterium. RNAcentral describes it as "partial 16S ribosomal RNA". It matches the Rfam family "Bacterial small subunit ribosomal RNA", at positions 30 to 523 of the family's 1533-position model. The record is from RNAcentral.
AUUGAACGCUGGCGGCAUGCCUUACACAUGCAAGUCGAACGGCAGCACGGGAGCAAUCCUGGUGGCGAGUGGCGAACGGGUGAGUAAAGUAUCGGAACGUGCCCAGUCGUGGGGGAUAACGUAGCGAAAGUUACGCUAAUACCGCAUACGAUCUAUGGAUGAAAGCGGGGGAUCGCAAGACCUCGCGCGAUUGGAGCGGCCGAUAUCAGAUUAGGUAGUUGGUGGGGUAAAGACUCACCAAGCCGACGAUCUGUAGCUGGUCUGAGAGGACGACCAGCCACACUGGGACUGGGACACGGCCCAGACUCCUACGGGAGGCAGCAGUGGGGAAUUUUGGACAAUGGGCGAAAGCCUGAUCCAGCCAUGCCGCGUGCAGGAUGAAGGCCUUCGGGUUGUAAACUGCUUUUGUACGGAACGAAAAGGUUUGGCCUAAUAAGCUGAGCUCAUGACGGUACCGUAAGAAUAAGCACCGGCUAACUACGUGCCAGCCGCCGCAGUAA